UUUUUCUCAUUCUUCUUCUUUAUGCAUCUUUUUUCUUUCUUUUUCUUUCUUCUGCUCUUCCUAUGUUCUUCAUUCUCUGAUGGUUUGUGAAUCAAAUUGAUGAAUUUGAGAUCGAAACAAGGGGAGAAAUAUCAUGUAGUGACUGCCGAUGAACUGAGAGAUAUGAUAUUGAUGUUGGAGAAGAUUGAGUUGCUGUUAUAAAUUGAAAAUCGGGUUUCUGAAAUUAGGGUGCGUAGAAUUGAUGAUGAUAUAGUGAUGUUGAAGGAUUAAGAACAAUUGGGUUGCCGUUUAAUUGGAUUUCUAGUCUUAUCUUGAAAAGUAAUUUGAGUUUGAUAAUUAGGGUUUCUGCAUGUUGUAUUGGAAUUCGAAUUAGGCAAAGAUUGAGAAGAUUUAGAUAAAAUUGUAAGAUAAGUUUGUUUAAUUGAGACUUUUGAAGUUGUUGUGGUGAUAAAUUGAGAAGAUAGAUUUAUGUUAAAUGGAGUUAGGGUUCUUGAGUCGAUGUAAGUGAGGAUUUAGAAGAUUGUCUGGAAAUGAGUUCUGUUGAUAUGAAGAAGCGGGUUGACGUUCUUGGUUCGAAAUAGAAGUCUUGAGUUAAGAAUUGGUUGGGAUGAAUUGAUGAAUUAUAGAUGAAAAGGUGAUGUGUUGCUGAAUCAAGUUCAAUUGCCUGAGUAGAACUAAUCAGAGGUAAUGGUUUUUCUUAGUUAAUUGAGUAAAGAUUUCUGUUCAAUUUCGUGUUUAUGAGAUUGUUAAUUGGCAUAAGAAUUGAGACGCAGGAAUUGAGAUUGUUUUAGAAUGGGUAAUUGAAGUGCAGAGUUACUUGGGAUGAAUUUAUGUAUAUCUGAAUUAAGAAAUUGAGUUUAAGUAAGGUGUUGUUGCUGUUGUUGUUAUGGUUUGUAUGAAUGAGUGAUUUCAAGAGAUGGAUAUGAGUAACUGUGAUUAUUUGAUUGAGUAUGAUCUCAAUUGAAGUUGCAGUGUGAUUGAGUUACAGGCUCAGGGGACUGGAUUGCGUGUAUAUUUGAUCUGGUAUUGGUAAUUGGAGAUGGUGGUGUUGUCUGUGUUAUAUAAUGCAACAGAAGUAAGAUGAAUGGUUUAAUAAUUGUGGGUAUGCAUGUGGUUAUGUUGAGAAUUGGGUUACAAGAAUGAAUGUGUAUGGAUGGUGGUGUAAGUUGUGAUUCUGGUGGAACUGAAGAUUCAGUUUGUGCUGGUGGAGUUAAUGUUAAUAAGAAUGCCAGAGAACGGUUAGUGGAGGAAUUGAAGUGGUGCUAUAGAUGUCGAUGAUUAUGUAAUGAAAUUGAAUUUAAUAUUUUGGAGUGUGUUGAAUUGUAAGCAAUGGAGCUGGUGCAUAUAUAAUGAGUAGAGUGAUUGUAUCCCUGGAAUUGUGGUGGCAUGGCUUGCAACUUCUGGUUGCAGUUUCAGAGAGAUCAGAGUUGCGCAGUGAAAGCUUCAGGGGUUGAGUUCGUUAGUUGGUUAACUUCUACUAUGUUUAUUAUGUUGUAUAUUCUGUUUGUAAACCAAAUGACUAUUUUAUAUGUAUCAUUUGAGAGGAGUUCUUAUUUAUAUAUUUUUGAGUGGGGUUAGUUAUUGGGUUGAGUUUUGUAUAAGUUUUCUUAAUUGAAUGUUUAAGUAAAUGAUUUAGAUUCUUAGUGUCUCUU
Papaver somniferum (opium poppy) is the source of this 1652-nucleotide long non-coding RNA. RefSeq lists it as uncharacterized. The transcript is spliced from 2 exons. Lineage: Eukaryota; Viridiplantae; Streptophyta; Magnoliopsida; Ranunculales; Papaveraceae. The record is from RefSeq and is a predicted model, not a curated record.